CCGCUCCUCUCUCAUUCUCUUCUAGCUCUCCUUCAACCUUAGACCUUCAACCUUCAACCUUCAACCUCUUCAACCUUCAACCUCUUCAACCUUCAACCUGCAACCUUCAAUCUUCAACCUUCAACCUCUGCAACCUUCAACCUGCAACCUUCAACCUUCAACCUUCAACCUCUGCAACCCUGAAUCUGCAACCUGCAACCUUCAUUCUUCAAACCUCUUAA
RNAcentral lists this long non-coding RNA (221 nucleotides) under Amborella trichopoda. Its description in RNAcentral is "long non-coding RNA (ATRI_LNC003757)". Lineage: Eukaryota; Viridiplantae; Streptophyta; Magnoliopsida; Amborellales; Amborellaceae. The record is from RNAcentral.